Molecule: non-coding RNA, 76 nt
Organism: Myotis lucifugus (little brown bat)
Lineage: Eukaryota; Metazoa; Chordata; Mammalia; Chiroptera; Vespertilionidae
Source: Rfam
GAGACACCCUUAUGGGGCAAGACUUGCUUCAGUGGGGCUUUGGUGCUCACUAAGUCUGCCCCCUGAGUGUGUCCCU